This is a transfer RNA of Vitrella brassicaformis, 83 nucleotides long. It matches the Rfam family "tRNA". Rfam says of the family: Transfer RNA (tRNA) molecules are approximately 80 nucleotides in length. Their secondary structure includes four short double-helical elements and three loops (D, anti-codon, and T loops). Further hydrogen bonds mediate the characteristic L-shaped molecular structure. tRNAs have two regions of fundamental functional importance: the anti-codon, which is responsible for specific mRNA codon recognition, and the 3' end, to which the tRNAs corresponding amino acid is attached (by aminoacyl-tRNA synthetases). tRNAs cope with the degeneracy of the genetic code in two manners: having more than one tRNA (with a specific anti-codon) for a particular amino acid; and 'wobble' base-pairing, i.e. permitting non-standard base-pairing at the 3rd anti-codon position. The record is from Rfam. Lineage: Eukaryota; Vitrellaceae.
GGUGACAUGUCCGAGUGGUCUAAGGAGCCAGACUCAAGUUCUGGUAGACCUAGUCUGCGUGAGUUCGAACCUCACUGUCACCA